RNAcentral lists this ribosomal RNA (289 nucleotides) under Anaeromicropila populeti. RNAcentral's name for it is "Clostridium populeti Bacterial large subunit ribosomal RNA". It matches the Rfam family "Bacterial large subunit ribosomal RNA", at positions 2636 to 2925 of the family's 2925-position model. The record is from Rfam by way of RNAcentral. Lineage: Bacteria; Bacillati; Bacillota; Clostridia; Lachnospirales; Lachnospiraceae.
CCCUAUCCGGCGCGGGCGUAGGAUAUUUGAGAGGAGCUGUCCUUAGUACGAGAGGACCGGGAUGGACGAACCUCUGGUGUAUCGGUUGUCUUACCAAAGGCAUGGCCGAGUAGCCAAGUUUGGAAGGGAUAAACGCUGAAGGCAUCUAAGCGUGAAGCCCCCCUCAAGAUAAGAUAUCCCUGCCGAAAGGCAAUAAGACCCCUUGCAGACUACGAGGUAGAUAGGUCAGAGGUGGAAGUGUGGCAACACAUGGAGCUGACUGAUACUAAUAGGUCGAAGGCUUAAUCAA